Long non-coding RNA from Scleropages formosus (Asian bonytongue), 1729 nucleotides. RefSeq lists it as uncharacterized. The record is from RefSeq and is a predicted model, not a curated record. The transcript has 4 exons. NCBI's taxonomy places the organism in Eukaryota, Metazoa, Chordata, Actinopteri, Osteoglossiformes, Osteoglossidae.
GGAUGUACACUGUUUUAUCUGGUUUCUUCCUCACAUAGUCUAGAUCCUGAACAAGUCUUCUCUCUCCCUGUACGACUGAAAUUAGAAGAAAAAAAACAUGCUGACGUUUUCAGUUCAGCCUUAUAACUGCAUUUACUCACGUGUUGCUCAAAUAAAGAGUUCAUUUCACUUACACAGAACAAGUGAGAACAGAAGGACAGUAGACCCAAAAACCAUCUUUCCACUGGAUUGACUUUUCUUCUUCUGUCACCCUCCCUGCUGUUCUGUGUCUUUAACUAAAGUGUUUCACUUUAAGUGGGUGGGUCAGGGGUGUGUCCACUAUUAUCCAAUCAGAACAAUUCUACAUGGAACAGUUGCUUACAUUUAUUCAGUCUGUAAUAAAUUUUGUCUCACUUUAACCACUAUGAAAAGCAGGUGGUAAUGAAUCUUCAGGUUUUUUGAAUUUGUUUUUUUGUUCUGAAGCAGAUCUGUUCGCCUGUGGUCUUGGAGGACUGUAAACAACAGGGUUUCCAGGUCUCCCUGCAGCUCACAGGUUUAAAUGUAUACAGUUGUCUGUCAAUGGAUGAGGUGCAUCACAGUAUGACUGGAACAAAAAUCUCCUGGAUCAGACCUGCAGGACCGUAGAGAACUAGUCAUGCGUUCUUUCAAAAUGUCAGGUUAUUGAACACUAAACAUCUAUAUGAAACAAAAUCUGGAAGCUCUGCAGAGGAGAAAGGUCAAGGUACAGAUGGGUUUGAUGUUCAAAAUAGCGUUUUGGUCUUUUAUGGUUCUAGAGCAUCUACACAAUGCAGUUUUUUUUUUUUUUUUGCUGAUUUUCUGUUCUUUCAGACUUUACCUGGAAGUCAGGAUUGUUUUGAGUUACAGGUUUUUUCCAGGUGGUGUGUUUGGUCUACAUCACUGUGGUAAACCCAACAGGCACAGAAGUAUGUGGCUGAAUGCUUCGUCUGGAGUUUGGAUAUCUUCAGGGUGAAUUUGUCCUUUCCAGGUUAUUUUGGGACAUUCAUCAUACUCUCACUAGUCUGACAGUCUAUCUAUACACAGACAUUGGAGAGGAUGUCCUUUGAACUUAAGUGAGCUAAAGAAGGUAAAAAUAAAUCACGCGCACACACAAUGUCUACGACUGCUUAUACCGAGCGGGGUUGCUGUAACCCGGAGCCUAACCUGUCAACACGGGACGCAAGGCUUUAAAUGGAUUUUUAUGCAGUGGUAGCUCCUUUUAAACCCUUUUGCAAGUUUCACCUUCUUCUCACACCAACUUGACCCCGAAGGUCUAGAAUAUAGGCAGCAUGUGUUUUAUCAGGGAUAUUUUGCCCUAGUUCAGUUCCACUUUCCCUGUACUGCUGAAAUCACUUUCAUAUUACCGCAUUUGUUCACUGAAUGAUCAGAUAAGAAAUUGCACUCAAGUCCUUUACCCAGAAUGAGUGACAACAGAAUGGCCCCAGAGUCGGAGACCAUCUUUCUCCUGGAUUGAUGACUUCUUUCUGUCAUGUCCCUUGUGCUGUGCCUUUAAUUGAGAGGGUGUUUCACCUGAAGGGGGAGGGGCAUGCCUGCAUUACAUUGACCAAUCAGUGAAGUUCUAGCUGGGAAGCACCUAACAGAAGCAAGAUUCCUCCCCCCCAGCUAUCAUGGCCAAUCAGAAAGCAGUUACCGCCUCAUGUUUAUUUGUUCUUUAAUACUUUUUGUCUCUCCCUGUGGCCAGUGUAUGCUGCUCAGAUGUUUUUUUCUUCCA